This 786-nucleotide unclassified non-coding RNA is filed under the name Hevea brasiliensis (rubber tree). Lineage: Eukaryota; Viridiplantae; Streptophyta; Magnoliopsida; Malpighiales; Euphorbiaceae. The record is from RNAcentral.
AUUUCGAUGGACUUUAUUGUUGGCUUGCCGAAAGUUAAUGGGCUGGGCAACAUUAUGGUUGUUGUGGACAGAUUGAGCAAGUAUGCAGUAUUUAUUCCAGCUCCGGCUUUGUUUGAUGCAAAGGAGGCAGCGAGGUUAUUUUUCCGUGGUGUUGUGAAGUACUGGGGGCUGCCGAGGGACAUAGUUAGUGACCGAGAUGCAAGGUUCACAGGCCGAUUCUGGACAGAGUUAUUCAGAAUUAUGGGGACCGAACUGAAGUUCUCCACCAGUUUUCACCCACAGACGGAUGGGCAAACCGAGCGGAUUAAUGCACUACUUGAGCUGUAUCUGAGGCAUUUUGUUGCCGCAAAUCAGAGGGACUGGCCAGAUUUGCUGGAUGUGGCGCAGUUCUCCUACAACUUGCAGAAGAGUGAAUCGACGGGGGCAACACCAUUCGAGAUAGUUACGGGGCAGCAGCCCCUCACGCCCCACACUGUGAUGAUACCGUAUAGGGGACCCAACCCGAGUGCUUUUAAGUUUGCCAAGGGGUGGAAAGAGACCGUGGAGCUUGCUAAGGUCUCCUUGGCCCGAGCCACCAAGAAAAUGAAGAAGUGGGCAGAUUCAAGGAGGCGGCAUUUGGAGUUUUCCGAGGGGGACAUGGUACUUGUGAGGAUGUUCCCCCGUACCCAUGGUAAACGGCACAAGGGAUUGCUUCGGAAAUACGAGGGACCGUUUAUGGUUGAACAGCGGAUUGGGAAAGUAGCAUACAGAAUCAGGCUGCCUGCACAUUUGGAGUGCCAUCCGGUG